RNAcentral lists this ribosomal RNA (612 nucleotides) under Triticum aestivum (bread wheat). RNAcentral's name for it is "partial small subunit ribosomal RNA". The record is from RNAcentral. Lineage: Eukaryota; Viridiplantae; Streptophyta; Magnoliopsida; Poales; Poaceae.
AUGACAGGGGGUCCCGCUAGACAGGGUGAUGUGGCAAAAAAGAAAAAACAAUUACAUACUGGUACAAUUUUGUUUUGCAAAAAGACCCCUGGAAAAAAGCAAUCGGGUCCUCCACGCCAGAUCACGCCGCUGCAGAAGUCCAUGGCCAGGGGCGCCGCCGUUCGCGAGGUUGAACUCGGCCAGCCAGCGCAUGGGGGAGGGGGGGGUGCUGCUCGGUCGGCGCAGGGGAGCUGGCUCUGCUCCGGCCAGCGCAGGGAGACGCAGUGGAGCUGCGGCUCGGCUGGCGCGGGGAGUUGCUGCUGCUUGGCCGGCGCAGGGAGUUGCCUCUGCUUUGCCGGCGCAUGGGGAGGCGCGGUGGAGCUACUGCUUGUGGCCCGGCGGCCUCGGCCCGCACGCCGGCGCGCUCGAGCUCCACCAGCUCGGACGUCAGUCAAUGGCGACGACGGUUGGCGGCGGCCCGGCUUGCAAGGCCAGGAGGAAGCGGGUAUGCGGCGGCGCGACGGAUUACGUCCGAUUCCGGCUGGCGGCGGAGCUUCGCAUGGUCCAACGGCAAUGACAGAGCUCUACUCGUGGCGCAUGGUCGCGACCUUAUCCUCUUCCUCUUCUUUUUGA